This 69-nucleotide transfer RNA is filed under the name Choloepus didactylus (southern two-toed sloth). Its description in RNAcentral is "tRNA-Lys". The record is from RNAcentral. Lineage: Eukaryota; Metazoa; Chordata; Mammalia; Pilosa; Megalonychidae.
CAUUAGAGAAGCUGUUCUAGCAUUAACCUUUUAAGUUAAAGACUGGGAACCUAAAACUCCCCUCAAUGA